RNAcentral lists this ribosomal RNA (466 nucleotides) under uncultured bacterium. RNAcentral describes it as "partial 16S ribosomal RNA". It matches the Rfam family "Bacterial small subunit ribosomal RNA", at positions 28 to 507 of the family's 1533-position model. The record is from RNAcentral.
GAUGAACGCUGGCGGCGUGCUUAACACAUGCAAGUCGAACGAUGAAGCCCAGCUUGCUGGGUGGAUUAGUGGCGAACGGGUGAGUAACACGUGAGUAACCUGCCCUUGACUCUGGGAUAAGCCUGGGAAACUGGGUCUAAUACUUGAUAUGACUUCUCAUCGCAUGGUGGGGGGUGGAAAGAUUUAUUGGUCUUGUAUGGACUCGCGGCCUAUCAGCUUGUUGGUGAGGUAAUGGCUCACCAAGGCGACGACGGGUAGCCGGCCUGAGAGGGUGACCGGCCACACUGGGACUGAGACACGGCCCAGACUCCUACGGGAGGCAGCAGUGGGGAAUAUUGCACAAUGGGCGCAAGCCUGAUGCAGCGACGCCGCGUGAGGGAUGACGGCCUUCGGGUUGUAAACCUCUUUCAGUAGGGAAGAAGCGAGAGUGACGGUACCUGCAGAAGAAGCGCCGGCUAACUACGUG